RNAcentral lists this small nuclear RNA (309 nucleotides) under Castor canadensis (American beaver). RNAcentral describes it as "7SK RNA (ENSCCNG00000026887.1)". It matches the Rfam family "7SK RNA". From Rfam's summary of the family: 7SK was discovered as an abundant small nuclear RNA in the mid-70s but a possible function has only recently been suggested. The record is from Rfam by way of RNAcentral. Lineage: Eukaryota; Metazoa; Chordata; Mammalia; Rodentia; Castoridae.
GGAUGUGAGGGUGAUCUGGCUGUGACAUCUGUCACCCAGUGAUCACCAGGGUUGAUUCAGCUGAUCUGGUUAGCUAGGUGGAUGUCCCCUUCCUCCCUCACUGAUCCAUGGCUGUCCCUCCUGACCUAUGUGUUCAGUUCAAGAGGACAACCUUUCCUGAUAGAGGAGGACCAUUCUUCAUUCAAGGGUAUAUGAGAAACUGCGCUCCCUCGCUAGAGCCUCCAAACAGGCUCUCAUGAAAGGUUGCUGGUUAAAGAAAGGACUUCCUAAAUGUCCCAGGAAUCACACUCAGGGCCAAAUCCUGCAGUG